RNAcentral lists this ribosomal RNA (446 nucleotides) under uncultured bacterium. Its description in RNAcentral is "partial 16S ribosomal RNA". It matches the Rfam family "Bacterial small subunit ribosomal RNA", at positions 338 to 795 of the family's 1533-position model. The record is from RNAcentral.
CCUACGGGAGGCAGCAGUAGGGAAUUUUCGGCAAUGGGGGGAACCCUGACCGAGCAACGCCGCGUGAACGAAGAAGUUAUUCGUAAUGUAAAGUUCUUUUAACAGGGAAGAAAGAGAAAUUUGACGGUACCUGAAGAAUAAGCCCCGGCUAACUACGUGCCAGCAGCCGCGGUAAUACGUAGGGAGCGAGCGUUAUCCGGAAUUAUUGGGCGUAAAGGGUGCGUAGAUGGCAUAGUAAGUCUUUUGUAAAAAUGCUGGGCUCAACCCAGUAGGGCAAAAGAUACUGCAAAGCUAGAGUGUGACAGAGGCAAGUGGAACUACAGGUGUAGCGGUGAAAUGCGUAGAUAUAUGUAAGAACACCAGUGGCGAAGGCGGCUUACUGGACUGUAACUGACGUUGAGGCUCGAAGGCGUGGGGAGCGAACAGGAUUAGAUACCCUUGUAGUC